UAUUAACUUUAACCUGAUAUUUUUGUCAAAGUAUUUAUAAUAGCAAAAUUAAUGGACAUUUCAUCAGUUUUCUCUAGCCCAGUUUAAUAUCAGUGAAAAAUUCUAGGGAGCAAUGAUAGGUUUAAGAGGUGAAUAGUGGGGACUGGGGAUGUAGCUCAGUGGUAAAACACUUGCCUAGCAUGUGUGAGGCCCUGAGUUCAAUCCCCAGACUGAAAAAAAAAAAAAAAAUGAAUAGUGUAAGAUAUACUAUUCAGUUCAUGGGUAGUUGAAGUGGGCAUGUUGCCCUAGAAAAUAAUAUUAAGUCUGUUGGCACUAAAGGCUGUUCCAGAUUUACUAUCUGCACACUGGGUAUUAGCAUAUAAUAUAUGUUAUGUAUUAGCAUAUUAGCAUUUUAAUUUUUAUUGCUUCCACCUGAAAACACAAUUAUGCAACUGAGAGAAAUCUCUCUUCUAAAGAAAAAGGAUUUCAGAGCUUGGUAUUUAUUAAGCCAGGUUUUCCCCACCGGAGUGUGGUAGACUGGUUUAGGAAAUGGAAGACUGAAUCCUUUGAGCCAGCCCCUUCUCUCUGUCACUAGAGUUCCUCACUAGGAACUGUAUUGACCUGAAACCAUGGGUCAUGUUUUUGUUUAACAAAUAAAAAAUUUGUAGGAAUGGGUUGAGGUGUUUUUCUCAACAGAAUUAACAGGUAAGUUUACUCUUUAUUUUUCUGAAUUUGGGAACAUCUCAGAUCAGAAUUUGGUGUUUCAAUCACUGAAAUUGAAUUUUCUUCCCUUUGAUUAUCAAAGGUGGGUUGCUUUGCAGAGUUUAAAAGGCUAUCAAAGGCCAACCUGAAGAUCAAAUGUGUUUGUUCUGUUGCUUAUCCACCUAUCUACAAAGUGUACAUUUUAGGGAAUAUAACUGUUUCUCAAGGAAGAUAAACACUUCACUUGAAGGACUUACCAUAGUGUUUGCACACCUGCAUAUUUUUAUUAAGCCUAAAAGUGGUCUGAGGUCCUCUCAAUCUAAUGCCUCCUUCCUUCAGAUCCUCUUUACCUCCUUCCUUUUCUGAGGACAGCCUUCCUCUGACCCAAUCUAUAUACUAAAGAACCAUUACAAGUUAUUAAUAUUUGUUCCAAAAGUGUUGUUAUUCCUCAUGGCACUGUGGAAAUGUUUUUAAAAAGAAAAAACUGACUCCUACCUCCCUGCCCAGGCAUCUGUCAUUAGAAUGUUUGUGCCUUUUACACAGCUUACUCUCCUUACUCCUUCCCUGCAAGGAUUAAACUAAAGUUCAAGAUCAUGAGGACUUUCCAAACCACCUUCUCUUGCAGCAGUUGCGAUUUUCUUCCCCCUUGACAGUCCAUACAACUUCCAUUUGUAUAUUCUUGACAAAGUGGAUAUUUUAUUCCUUUGUGUCCCCACAGUAAAUAUCCUCUUACUGUACUAAAAGAUCCGUAGUUGAUGGUGAUAAUGAUUCUUAAUCUGAAAGCCAAGAAAUUUCUAAUGUUUGUCCAGGUUAACCAACAGGUACAGCCUUUUUGAACUACACAGAUAUUUUCCCAUAUGACCAAUGUGAUGAGAGAGGUUCCCAAGCUAGACCACUAAUUAGCUAGAAUGCUUUGCAUUUAAAAUACUGAAAGAGUGGGAUACAUAAAUGUUAAAAUGAAGUUAAGAAAUAGUGUUUCUUUGUCUUUUAUAUGAUAUGGACAUUCUGGAAAAUACAGAAAUUGGUGUUUGAAAUAGAUGUCCCUGAUUUUGAUAACAUCAAAUUUCAUUUCAGAGUUUUCAAGUUUGUCUUUUUUUGGAUACAGGUGUUUGGGUGCCUUAUUGUUCUUGGACAUGAUGACAGGUUUUUGGUUUUUAUUUGUUAAGUAAAGCCAGGCUUCAGAUUAAAGGAUUCAUAGCAGACAGCAGGGACUAUUUGUAUAUUUGUAAAGUGGGUCCACAUGACCAGGACGAUGCCUAUGUAAUGAGUGAUGUGAAACAAACCUACAUUUUUUAUGUGAGUUGGCUUGAAGUUUUAGAUUACUACUUUUUGAAUCUUAAUAAAAGUCUUUCACAUUCCCUUUUGCUGAA
Molecule: long non-coding RNA, 2051 nt
Filed under: Marmota monax (woodchuck)
Lineage: Eukaryota; Metazoa; Chordata; Mammalia; Rodentia; Sciuridae
Source: RNAcentral